This 383-nucleotide ribosomal RNA is filed under the name uncultured bacterium. Its description in RNAcentral is "bacterial SSU rRNA". It matches the Rfam family "Bacterial small subunit ribosomal RNA", at positions 30 to 396 of the family's 1533-position model. The record is from RNAcentral.
AGUGAACGCUGGCGGCAGGCCUAACACAUGCAAGUCGAGCGGCAGCGGGUCCCCGCGAGGGGAUGCCGGCGAGCGGCGGACGGGUGAGGAACACAUCGGAAUCUGCCUGGUUGUGGGGGAUAACGUAGGGAAACUUACGCUAAUACCGCAUGAGACCCUGAGUCGACGGACUGGGGGUGAAAGUGAGGGACCUUCGGGCCUCACGCGACCAGAUGAGCCGAUGUCGGAUAGCUAGUUGGCGGGGUAACGGCCCGCCAAGGCGACGAUCCGUAGCUGGUCUGAGAGGAUGAUCAGCCACACUGGGACUGAGACACGGCCCAGACUCCUACGGGAGGCAGCAGUGGGGAAUCUUGGACAAUGGGCGCAAGCCUGAUCCAGCCAUG